This is a long non-coding RNA of Agrilus planipennis (emerald ash borer), 404 nucleotides long. RefSeq lists it as uncharacterized. Lineage: Eukaryota; Metazoa; Arthropoda; Insecta; Coleoptera; Buprestidae. The transcript has 2 exons. The record is from RefSeq and is a predicted model, not a curated record.
UCUAUGGCUUGUGUCAGUUGCUAUGUUUGAUUUCAUUUAUUUAAAAGAAAAUAUAAAAACCCAUGAAAUAUGAAUUGGAGAAGAACGCAGACAAAAUAGAAAACUGUCACUCUGGUCAAUGGCGAUACAAUUGUGCCUUUCCUGUGCUCCAUUUGCUGUUCUUUUAUAGAAUUUGAAAGAUACUACAUUUAAUAUGGUAGGAUUUCACCAUUUAUGUUUCAGAGUAAUUGUUGUGCUUUAGAAUCUAAAAUAUUCAGGAGUUUUUGUUUUCAAACUCACUGAAAAACUUAUCAAUGAUCACAGUGUCUUAGUAUUCUAAGUUGUUAAUGUGUGAUAAUUGUUAUUUAUAUGACAUGUACAGUAUGCAAAAAUAAUCAGAAAGAAAUGUUAAUCUUUUUUUGAAA